AAAGAAUGGGAGAAUGAAGAUGGAAGAAAAAUGUCUUGCUGCUGCAGAAUGGCUGUGGAGUAAGGGAAUGGCAAUUUGUAAACAGCAGUGAAGAAGUUUCUAUUUUUUAUAUAGGAAAUGCUUUCUGGUGGUAGUGAUGGUGAACUGCAGGAAUGGGAUGCCAAUUUUUAAGAACCAUAGAGAGACACAUAAGUGACACUGGCUCAGCUCAGAGCAGUGAUAAAGCAGAAAUUUCCAGAGUCUUCAUCUGCCUGCUGGCUCACAGAUUAAACACAGCACCUUGCUUCAGGGGAGGCUGGCAGAUAUGGAAAUUGAUGUGCAUCUCCUGGGUGCUUUCCUGGCUCCCUGGACAGGACCGAGAGUCAUAAGGUAUUGUAUCAAAAGGUGAAGAAAACCCUGAUUUGUGACAAAGCUUCCUCUUCUUCGCUCAGUCUGUUACUUCCCAAAGAGGAAUGGACAGGUUUGCGUGCAUCUAAAGCAAGAGGGCAAAUUUAUGUGCCACUGAUCUGCACUAGAAGUGAAGCAAACAAUGACAGUAGCAGUCACCUGUAAGGCAUCUCUCUGUGGAAGUCACUCCAGCCAUGUUGUGAUCAUGGGUUGAGUACACAAGGAAAUUGUAAAAUUUCAUUGAGCUCAAGAGGGGAGAAGAAUCAAAACCAGCGCUGGAGGGCAACUGAAGCCUGGUGCAGCUUCCCCCCCUUCCCCACCACUGUAUACCUCUCAGCUCUGUUGUGUUGGCUGUGGUGAGAAAACUUCCUUGUCAUUCCAGGAGAAGUAUCUCAUCUCCAUCUUUGAGAUCUGCAGAGAGACAGACCAAUUUUCUCUCUUAAACUGCAACUCAGCAACAUGCAAAAGCAACAUAUCCAAUUUCUCAGUCUUUCUCUGGAGCAGUCACUUAGUACAGCAGCAGCAAAAAACCAGGUACCAGGUACCAAUGCCAUGGCAUCAGUGCUGAUUGUCAGAAGAACACUCUGCCUACAAACUCCUAAAGAUGAGCCUUAGCUGGCCAGAGUGCUGACUGCCCCAGACAAGGCUGCAGAGAAGCCUGUGGUCUAUUCUCCCCAUAGUUUUUUGUGAAGCCGAAGGAUGGUUACAGCUGUGGUAGCAUUUCAGGCACUUGCUUUUCUUCCUGAACUGGAUCUGAUGUAGUUUUAGCCUCUGGAGAAUGUGGCACCAAGUAUCACAGCUGAUAGCAUCCUCGGAGUGGUGAAGGAUUAAAAAUAGACUUUGUGAUCACUUGAUGUCUUUUGGUUUCCCAUGAAGGUCCUGUGACUUAAAAGAAUUUGGUUCUAUUUUCAAUUGGGUUAACACCAGAUACAUAUUUUUAAAAAUAGUAAACUGCUUUGCUGUUAUGUGACCAGAGAGAGAUGAGUUUUGAGGUUCACCUACAAGUGAAAACCAGCAAUCAGCUAUAGCUCCUGCCUGAGGUAUUGAGCUUUGCAAGUGAGCUUGAGCACAGGGAACUCAGGCCACUCUGCAAUGUGAAGAGGCAAUCGAUAAAGAUUAUGCCAUGAAACUCAACAGUUCAUCUUUCACUCAAGUACAGCCUUUCCCCUUCUUUUACAAUUACUCCUCAUGCAUAAAUAAUAUCCAUAUUCCUGCAUUUCCUUGAAAUGUAGAUAUUACUUCUGACUGUACCAUAAUUUUCUAAUUUUGAGAUGUUUCUUGCUACAGAAGAAGGGUAGAAAGCACUAUUCAGUACUAGGUCUGAAGCUGUUUAAUGUCAAUGGCAAAAAUUUCAGUUUCCAUGUGUUCAAUCCUACCACUUGCUGUCCUCUCUCACUUUUCUAAUUAGUCUCAUCCCCUCAUCCGAAGAUACAUACUUACAUCUAUUUCUACCAGACCAAAUCUUUUCCAACUUUAAUGUGCAGAUCUCUUUCUCAGCUGAUAUUCAAAAUCAGACACAAGCUCUCCUUCCAUACUUGUGUUUGACUUGACUGUGGGAGCAGGUCUGGGCUAUGCCUUCAUCAUCUUUCCCUUUGUAUAGAUGACAAGAAAGAGAAUACAGAAUGAAGCAGGGCAGCUGCAAUGGCCUCUGCUCAGCCAGAACAAUACUAAUGCACUGGGUUUUGUCAUUUCUCCAGGGGAGCAUAAGCCUUUUUUCAUGUGCCACUGGACCUUUAUCUCAGCAGGAAGUGAGCAUUUCCCUCAGUGUGCAAGAGGCUGACUAUAAGGGCUUUCAUACUCUUUAAAAAAGAAGUUGCUCUGUAGAGAUGUGGCAAGUUCUGCAAACAGCUGGAAAAAAUAACAUUAUCUCUUGCAAACUCUUCUUUGCAGAAUCCUAAAACCCCCAAAGGGCCCCAUAGCUGUGCACUUUACAGCAUCAACUGCUGACUGGCUCCCAGCUCAGCCUUAACACAAGUGAGGCCUCUACAGCCUCACCAAGCUAGGCAGCUUUGCCUUCCAUCAGGGCUCUGAGCAAAGUUGUGCUGCCACUGACAUGCUGGGAAAACCCUGGAAGCCUGGGAACCUGGGCAGUGCUUGAUCCUCCACUGCUGGUGUCCCAGGAACAUGGGUUCCCAGUCGCAGCCUCAUCAGCUGCAGGAGGGUCUGCUCUGCUCAUCACAGUGUGGUUGAUUCCCACCAGCCUUUGGGGAGCCCCUGGCAGGCAGCUGGCUACCCUCUUCCCCUGGCCAAACCCUGUGCUAGUCAACAGCCAUCCUGCUACUUAAUAUUUCAAAUAUGCAUGAAUAAUCCACUGAAUUUCAGUAUCCCCUUAUUUUCUCAGAUUCUUUGUGGUCAC
This is a long non-coding RNA of Motacilla alba alba, 2743 nucleotides long. RefSeq lists it as uncharacterized. The transcript has 3 exons. The record is from RefSeq and is a predicted model, not a curated record. NCBI's taxonomy places the organism in Eukaryota, Metazoa, Chordata, Aves, Passeriformes, Motacillidae.